UGAGCGAAGCCGGUUCAUCCACACGCUGGGCACCCUCGUGGGCGCAUUCGGCCUGUCUUCCUCUCCAUCAAUGACUUCGCACACCGGCUCCAGCCUUUAUGAGGGCAUUGCGCCUCUUGCAUCUCAAGCAGAGGACUUCAUUACACGCUGCUUCUACGGCAAAGCCGGUGCCGAGUCGCGUCAGCGUGCCUUUUCGAUGGGUUUGCAAUCGCCGCUGUGGCUGUGGACGCAUCAGCAGAUCACUCGCGAUGCCGGGGCGCCAAAGGGGAUGCGUAAGAUAAUACACCUGGUUCAGUGGAUGCACCUCCACGGCGUGGAGUCGCGGCACAUUGCCAUUCUUGUGCCAUUCUCGUGGAAGGCGAUGUGCCAGCAGGAGUUCGCGCAGCACAGCGCUCAGGCGGAGAUGAAGGAGUGCCCGAUUCUUCUAGCCCAUCACGAGCUGCCUGCGCUGAACAAGCGAGACCACACCAAGUACCGGUAUCGGGCGGUUUUCUACUUGAUGGACGCGCUGCCGCGCAAUUUAAACCUUUCGGCGCCGCUUCAGGCAAGUGAGGAGCUCCUGAUUUCCGAGGCCAUGGGGGCGGCGCUGGACGCAUUUGUGCUGUGCGCCGAUGCAGGGUGGAUGGCGCCUCAGGUACAGGCAAAGUGGUACAAGAUGUUCGUCGCCAAGCUGGAGGACGUCCGCGCGGUUGUCUCUUACGACGCCACCACGACGACUCAGGCGGCCAUGGAGGCGGCGGCCGCGUACUUUCCCUCCCUUGUGGGUCCCACGAUCCCUCUGUGCUGCAGCCGGCACCCAAACCAGCGGCAGCUCGAGUACGGUCUUGCACGCAUGGAGCCCUGUUGCAAACGGCUCUGCCUGAGUCUGUACGCGUGUCGUCGUCCCGAUCACGUGUGCACGCGUACGUGUCACCCCGACGAGAGCCAUCUGACGUGCUCGUACGCGUGCGGCGCCUCCCUCCCCUGCGGUCACAAGUGUCUGCUGGAGUGCGGUGCUCCGUGCAACUGCUUCGAGGUGGUCGAGAUGCAGCUGCCAUGCUCGCACGAGAAGCUUCUGGGGAUGAACAAGGAAACGCUCGAGCCCAUUUACGCGGUGGUGCGCCACGUGUACAAGGGUGUCUGCGGCGACGCAGCGCUACCGUGCGCCGUGUCGUACGAGACGGAGUGCGCGCGGUGCCUCGGCCUCUUUACGGUGUCGUGCUUUGAGGCACAGGAGCAGGGCCAUUCGCUGGCCCACCGGACACUGAUCUGUGCAGCGUGCAAGCGCCGCGAGCGCGAACUGCGGGCGAGGCUUCUUGGCGAGCUUCUCACUGGUGUCGAGUCCCAGAAGAAGAAGGUCAAGGCGGAGCUGCAGCGGUCGCUGCACCACCAGCGCAAAGCAGCGGCGCAGGGCCUUUUUCGGCCCGGCACCCGGGUGGAGAUCGUCGACGCGACCAAGUGCGUGCCGCCGCUCUUCGCAGAGGAUGACUUUCCGGGCAUCGAGUUUGUGGACAUGGAGGUGCCGACGUUUUUCCAGGAGAUAGAGGGGGCGUACGGCACGUUCGUGAGCAACCACGUAGAUGUCGUGGACCGCAGCGAGGUGCGCAACCUUGUUCGGCUGCCUAGUGGCAAGCAUGUGCUGGUGACGGAUGGCGGGCUGCGCAUGAUUCAGGCCCUGACAAGCAACAUCACGCAGGCUGUGCCGCUCAUGCUGACCUGCAAGGGUAGAGACGACGGUGCCGCGGAUGGGGCCGCACUGGACAGCGCCGAGUUUGCGGCCGCGAAGCUGAUGCUGCAUGGCGUGUAUUAUCUGGCGCAGCCUGUCGCAUGCGACGAGGUGGCGGGGGAAGAGGUGCUCACGGACAAGGUCGUGCGCGUCGUGGAUCUCGAUCCGCUCUCUGCCAAGAAGGUUGUGGUGGAGUGCGAGCUUUAUCGCGUCUCCGAGCGCACACACGACGACAUCGGCGAUGAACGUAGCGACUCCGCUCACGUUGGCAGCGCGACGACGGGCUCAUUGAACGGGACCCCAAAGCGGCGCCGUCUCGAACGGGGCGCGGUGAACAUCUCCCGGUACGAAUGCACCGAGCAGAUUGUGCGCCUCUCCGUCCCCAUUGCGGCUUUGGAGCCGAUGCCUGGUAUGGUGGAAGGCAAGUACGUGUUCGUCAGCGCCCCGGAGCGGCAAGUGCGCAACCCGCACGACAUGGUCAGAAUCGAGGCGAUGCUGCGCCGCCUCACUGACCUAUCCUUGCCCACUGAUGCGCACGUGACGGCGGCGCCCAUUGACCCCGACACUCCGUACUCGCUGGUGAAAGUGGUGAACCCUCCCGUGAACUGCGAGGCGGCGCGCGGCCCUUGCGCGGUGCUGAAGUGCAGCGAUGCGCGUGUUGUGGUUCGUGCCAGCUCUGACAAGCUCCAGCACCGCCGUGGCGGUGGCGCCCGCCACAAUGGGGAUCGCGGGGCACCCCAGCGAGGGGUGCGCGCUCCGCCGACCGCCGCCGCAUCCGCGCUACUCGUGGUCGUGCCCUUUGUGUACACGGUGGGCGAUGAGCUCACGGAGGCGGAGGGGGCGCUGGACGCGGCUGCGCAGAAAGUGUUUGAGCAGCGCCUGCAGGCCGAGUUGACCACCUCAAGCGAGGAGCUGGCCUUGCGCCAUGAGGAGGAGGCCUUCCACGCGCAGCAGCAGAUGCCCGAGGUAACCCCGGAGAUGAUGACCGCCGAUCUACAUGCGUACAGCGUUCCGAUGCCGCUGCCAACGGCUGCCGAAGUGGCAGCGGCCCGGCAGAAGUCGAUGGAGCUGUCGGUAGGAACGCCCAUCGCUAGUCGCCUCGCGCACACCAGGGACAAGCUCCUUUGCAAACAGGAGGCGCUGCAACUGCCGCAGUGGAUGACGAUGAUGACGGAGAGAGCUCACAAGGAAAAAGAGUCGGACGCGCAGCACGUCAAGUACAUUCGCUCCUUGCGUCGAUGAGAACCCUCCCAGAGCGCGCAUGUGUGUGCGUGUCUCCGGGCCUGCAUGGCGGUGGAGGUGAGCAGGAGGCGGUGGGGGAGGGUAGGUCCUCCUGCCUUGUCGUUUGCCUCUCGCUGGUUUUCUGCUAUGCCGCGCGCGUCUGUCCGCCUCUUCGUCCGUCCGUGUGUCUGUGUGUCUGUCUGUCUUUGGAUGUGUGCCCGUGUGUGGCUGUGCUUGAGUGGGCCGCUGCCGGAGUGUGCCAUCACGACGGAGGGAUGGGCGGCAAACCCUUGUGGGGCCCGAAGGGACCUGCGCAUGCACCGAGACACACGCACGCGCAGACACACUGGCACGUAUGUGCACACGGCGCACAACGCGCACUGCGCCCACCCCUCAUCUCUUUUCGUUUAUUUUCGUGCACACCCAAAACAAGGAAAAAAAGACGAAAGGAUCACACGGGCACGCAUUGGCAACAAAUGCGGCACCACUCUCGCCAUUGCCAAACAGUGGCGAUGCACGGUGUGUGUGCAAUGCAUGUGGGUCGGUGUUGUCUGUUCUGCCACCCCCCUCAUCCUCUCUACGUCUGCACCCUCGCGCAGUCGAGUGAAUGCUGGGUCUGAGAGCAGGAGUGAGAGGGGGUACAGGCAUGAGCAGCGGCAGCAGCUGAUCUCGAGAGAGAGAGAGAGAGGGACAGCGUCGCUGAAGAGAGUAACCAACUCUGCCGAGCGUAGACAUCGACGCUCGCGCGAGUGCGCGACUUCAUACAUGCACACGCACACACAAAACGCUCCAGCGCACGCUCCCUUUCCCGCUCUAACUCACCUCUCUCCGCCUUCUUGUUUGCGAGGCUGUAAAUGGUUGUUAUUCACGGUGCUUGUUGUCAG
This 3810-nucleotide unclassified non-coding RNA is filed under the name Leishmania donovani. RNAcentral's name for it is "gene:LdHU3.32.5140(CDS-product:hypothetical_prote in_conserved)". The record is from RNAcentral. Lineage: Eukaryota; Euglenozoa; Kinetoplastea; Trypanosomatida; Trypanosomatidae.